Molecule: non-coding RNA, 148 nt
Filed under: Pan troglodytes (chimpanzee)
Lineage: Eukaryota; Metazoa; Chordata; Mammalia; Primates; Hominidae
Source: Rfam by way of RNAcentral
GUUGGGCAUGGUGGUGCGUGCCUGUAAUCCCAGCUACUCAGGAGGCUGAGGCAGGAGAAUCGCUUGAACCCGGGAGGUGGAGGUUGCGGUGAGCCGAGAUUGUGCCAUUGCACUCCAGCCUGGGUGACAGAGCGAGACUCUGUCUCAA